This is a non-coding RNA of Vicia faba (fava bean), 225 nucleotides long. Lineage: Eukaryota; Viridiplantae; Streptophyta; Magnoliopsida; Fabales; Fabaceae. The record is from the annotation of a GenBank genome assembly.
AUGAGUGGGCAAAUUUUGGGUGCAACACUUUCACAGAAACAGAAACUAAAUCAAACGCAUAUGAAAGUGGAUUAUUCACAUCUCAACGGCAAGCUGCAACUCUCAGAUACCGCAUCCACCAUCCUCGAUGAACCUACCGAAUCGCAAGCAUCCGGAUCGAAACCUCGUUCACGCUGCAAAUCACCGCUUCUAACCACCAGCAAUCACGCCACAUACUCAGAUUAG